Molecule: ribosomal RNA, 1362 nt
Filed under: uncultured bacterium
Lineage: Bacteria
Description: bacterial SSU rRNA
Rfam family: Bacterial small subunit ribosomal RNA
Source: RNAcentral
AUUGAACGCUGGCGGUAUGCUUAACACAUGCAAGUCGAACGGAAACGAUACUAGCUUGCUAGUAGGCGUCGAGUGGCGGACGGGUGAGUAACGCGUAGGAAUCUGCCUGAUAGUGGGGGAUAGCCCGAAGAAAUUCGGAUUAAUACCGCAUAAUCUAUUCGUAGUAAAGUGGGGGACUUUCGAGCCUCACGCUAUCAGAUGAGCCUGCGUAAGAUUAGCUUGUUGGUAGGGUAAAAGCCUACCAAGGCGACGAUCUUUAGCUGGUCUGAGAGGAUGAUCAGCCACAUCGGGACUGAGACACGGCCCGAACUCCUACGGGAGGCAGCAGUGGGGAAUAUUGGACAAUGGGGGCAACCCUGAUCCAGCAAUACCGCGUGUGUGAAGAAGGCCUGAGGGCUGUAAAGCACUUUCAAUUGUGAAGAAAAGUUAGCGGUUAAUAACCGUUAGCCUUGACGUUAACUUUAGAAGAAGCACCGGCUAACUCCGUGCCAGCAGCCGCGGUAAUACGGAGGGUGCAAGCGUUAAUCGGAAUUACUGGGCGUAAAGCGUGCGUAGGCGGUUUAUUAAGUCAGAUGUGAAAGCCCCGGGCUUAACCUGGGAACUGCAUUUGAAACUGGUCAACUAGAGUAUGGUAGAGGAAAGUGGAAUUUCUGGUGUAGCGGUGAAAUGCGUAGAUAUCAGAAGGAACAUCAAUGGCGAAGGCAGCUUUCUGGACCAAUACUGACGCUGAGGUACGAAAGCGUGGGUAGCAAACAGGAUUAGAUACCCUGGUAGUCCACGCCGUAAACGAUGAUAACUAGCCGUUGGGGGGAUUUACCCUUUAGUGGCGAAGCUAACGCGUUAAGUUAUCCGCCUGGGGAGUACGGCCGCAAGGUUAAAACUCAAAGGAAUUGACGGGGACCCGCACAAGCGGUGGAGCAUGUGGUUUAAUUCGAUGCAACGCGAAGAACCUUACCUGGUCUUGACAUCCUGCGAACUUUCUAGAAAUAGAUUGGUGCCUUCGGGAACGCAGUGACAGGUGCUGCAUGGCUGUCGUCAGCUCGUGUCGUGAGAUGUUGGGUUAAGUCCCGUAACGAGCGCAACCCCUAUCCUUAUUUGCCAGCACAUCAUGGUGGGAACUAUAAGGAGACUGCCGGUGAUAAACCGGAGGAAGGCGGGGACGACGUCAAGUCAUCAUGGCCCUUACGACCAGGGCUACACACGUGCUACAAUGGGAAGGACAAAGAGCCGCGAAGCCGCGAGGUGUAGCUAAUCUCAUAAACCUUUUCGUAGUCCGGAUUGGAGUCUGCAACUCGACUCCAUGAAGUCGGAAUCGCUAGUAAUCGUAGAUCAGAAUGCUACGGUGAAUACGUUCCCGGGUCU